AUUGAACGCUGGCGGCAUGCCUAACACAUGCAAGUCGAACGGUAACAGGUCGCUGUGAUCCCUUCGGGGUGAACUUGAUGCUGACGAGUGGCGGACGGGUGAGUAAUGCUUGGGAAUCUGCCCAGUAGUGGGGGACAACACGAGGAAACUCGUGCUAAUACCGCAUACGUCCUACGGGAGAAAGUGGGGGAUCUUCGGACCUCACGCUAUUGGAUGAGCCCAAGUCGGAUUAGCUUGUUGGUGGGGUAAAGGCCUACCAAGGCGACGAUCCGUAGCUGGUCUGAGAGGACGAUCAGCCACACUGGGACUGAGACACGGCCCAGACUCCUACGGGAGGCAGCAGUGGGGAAUAUUGGACAAUGGGCGCAAGCCUGAUCCAGCAAUGCCGCGUGUGUGAAGAAGGCCUGCGGGUUGUAAAGCACUUUCAGUAGAGAAGAAAAGCUCCGGGUUAAUAACCCUGGGUCUUGACGUAACCUACAGAAGAAGCUCCGGCUAACUCCGUGCCAGCAGCCGCGGUAAUACGGGGGGAGCGAGCGUUGUUCGGAAUCACUGGGCGUAAAGGGCGUGUAGGCGGUUUGGUAAGUGAGAUGUGAAAGCCCCCGGCUCACCCGGGGAUGUGCAUUUCAAACUGCUGGACUUGAGUACGGAAGAGGAUGGGGGAAUUCCUGGUGUAGCGGUGAAAUGCGUAGAUAUCAGGAGGAACACCGGUGGCGAAGGCGCCCAUCUGGUCCGUUACUGACGCUGAUGCGCGAAAGCUAGGGGAGCGAACGGGAUUAGAUACCCCGGUAGUCCUAGCCGUAAACGGUGGGCACUAGGUGUUGGAGGCAUCGACCCUUCCAGUGCCGCAGCUAACGCAUUAAGUGCCCCGCCUGGGGAGUACGGUCGCAAGACUGAAACUCAAAGGAAUU
RNAcentral lists this ribosomal RNA (908 nucleotides) under uncultured bacterium. Its description in RNAcentral is "bacterial SSU rRNA". It matches the Rfam family "Bacterial small subunit ribosomal RNA", at positions 28 to 911 of the family's 1533-position model. The record is from RNAcentral.